Molecule: long non-coding RNA, 338 nt
Filed under: Chinchilla lanigera (long-tailed chinchilla)
Lineage: Eukaryota; Metazoa; Chordata; Mammalia; Rodentia; Chinchillidae
Description: lncRNA (ENSCLAG00000022566.1)
Source: RNAcentral
UGGCAUUUGCCAAGGCAGAGUUCUCAGGUCUUUGUUCAGGCUUUGGUGGCAGCAGCUUCAAACUCCUUUGAAAGCCACAGGAGGGUCAAGUACAGCAGAGAUACAAGAGCAUGCAGUAAGAAGAAAAUUUCCUGCAUUCAUUUUCAUGUGAUUAAACAUUAAAAGCUGAUGUGAGACUCUCAUGGUAGAAGGUAUAGUACAAGCAAAAUGUUUUGGUUCAGAGGUGUUUGAUGUGGAAAUUAGAUAAAUUGAGAAACUUCGUUAGCUAUGUCCUUGGAGAUUAGUGUGUCUGAUUUUCAAUUAGUCCACCUAUGUUUACUAAGCAUUUACUACAUAUC